AACGAACGCUGGCGGCAGGCUUAACACAUGCAAGUCGAGCGCCCCGCAAGGGGAGCGGCAGACGGGUGAGUAACGCGUGGGAAUCUACCGUACCCUACGGAAUAGCUCCGGGAAACUGGAAUUAAUACCGUAUACGCCCUUCGGGGGAAAGAUUUAUCGGGGUAUGAUGAGCCCGCGUUGGAUUAGCUAGUUGGUGGGGU
This 200-nucleotide ribosomal RNA is filed under the name uncultured bacterium. RNAcentral's name for it is "partial 16S ribosomal RNA". It matches the Rfam family "Bacterial small subunit ribosomal RNA", at positions 29 to 258 of the family's 1533-position model. The record is from RNAcentral.